AUGGGAGAUUUCAACGAGAUCUUAAGCAAUGAUGAGAAGCGGGGAGGAGUUGAUAGAGCGGAGGGAUGCAUGACCAUGUUUCAGGAGGCGUUGGAAGGCUGUAGGCUGCGCGAUCUAGGUUUUGAAGGAGAUAUUUUCACAUGGUGGAAGGGGUAUAUCUGUGGCCGGUUGGACAGGGCAGCUGCCAACAUGGAAUGGUGCACGGCCUUCCCGGAGUUCCGUGUGUGAAAUGAGGUGCCGAGGCACUCGGACCAUAGGCCCAUUGUC
This 267-nucleotide ribosomal RNA is filed under the name Triticum aestivum (bread wheat). RNAcentral describes it as "partial small subunit ribosomal RNA". The record is from RNAcentral. Lineage: Eukaryota; Viridiplantae; Streptophyta; Magnoliopsida; Poales; Poaceae.